UACGUAGGGGGCAAGCGUUGUCCGGAUUUAUUGGGCGUAAAGAGCGUGUAGGCGGUCAGGUAGGUCCGUUGUGAAAACUCGAGGCUCAACCUCGAGACGCCGAUGGAAACCAUCUGGCUAGAGUCCGGAAGAGGAGAGUGGAAUUCCUGGUGUAGCGGUGAAAUGCGCAGAUAUCAGGAAGAACACCCGUGGCGAAAGCGGCUCUCUGGGACGGUACUGACGCUGAGACGCGAAAGCGUGGGGAGCGAACAGG
RNAcentral lists this ribosomal RNA (253 nucleotides) under uncultured bacterium. RNAcentral's name for it is "partial 16S ribosomal RNA". It matches the Rfam family "Bacterial small subunit ribosomal RNA", at positions 524 to 776 of the family's 1533-position model. The record is from RNAcentral.